This 464-nucleotide ribosomal RNA is filed under the name uncultured bacterium. RNAcentral describes it as "partial 16S ribosomal RNA". It matches the Rfam family "Bacterial small subunit ribosomal RNA", at positions 28 to 507 of the family's 1533-position model. The record is from RNAcentral.
GACGAACGCUGGCGGCGUGCUUAACACAUGCAAGUCGAACGGAAAGGCCCAGCUUGCUGGGUGCUCGAGUGGCGAACGGGUGAGUAACACGUGGGUGAUCUGCCUCUAACUUCGGGAUAAGCUUGGGAAACUGGGUCUAAUACCGGAUAGGACAAUCGUUUAGUGUCGGUUGUGGAAAGUUUUUUCGGUUAGGGAUGAGCCCGCGGCCUAUCAGCUUGUUGGUGGGGUAAUGGCCUACCAAGGCGUCGACGGGUAGCCGGCCUGAGAGGGUGGACGGCCACAUUGGGACUGGGAUACGGCCCAGACUCCUACGGGAGGCAGCAGUGGGGAAUAUUGCACAAUGGGCGCAAGCCUGAUGCAGCGACGCCGCGUGGGGGAUGACGGCCUUCGGGUUGUAAACCUCUUUCGACAGGGACGAAGCUUUGGUGACGGUACCUGUAUAAGAAGCACCGGCUAACUACGUG